Molecule: unclassified non-coding RNA, 336 nt
Filed under: soil metagenome
Description: partial contains 5.8S ribosomal RNA, internal transcribed spacer 2, and large subunit ribosomal RNA
Rfam family: 5.8S ribosomal RNA (bases 1-120)
Source: RNAcentral
GAUGAAGAACUUAGCGAAAUGCGAUAAGUAAUGUGAAUUGCAGAAUUCAGUGAAUCAUCGAAUCUUUGAACGCACAUUGCGCCCGCCAGUAUUCUGGCGGGCAUGCCUGUUCGAGCGUCAUUUCAACCAUCAAGCCCCCGGCUUGUGUUGGGGACCUGCGGCUGCCGCAGGCCCUGAAAAGCAGUGGCGGGCUCGCUGUCACACCGAGCGUAGUAGCAUACAUCUCGCUCUGGGCGUGCUGCGGGUUCCGGCCGUUAAACCACCUUCAUAGCCCAAGGUUGACCUCGGAUCAGGUAGGAAGACCCGCUGAACUUAAGCAUAUCAAUAAGCGGAGGA